AUGUUGAAAUCCAGAGACAAGAUAACUUCAUUCUUUUGAGACUGAUGUAAGUUAAAUUAUUAUUACUUUUUUUUUAGAAAAUUAAUGUUUUUGUUGUGUCCUGCCUGUUAACUUCACAUUUUGAUGCAAAAACAGUGUGAUUUUAUAUAUGUAUGUAUGUAUAUGUUAAUAUUUUAUUGAAACCAUUGAUGCCCCUCUUUGCAGAACUCAAACUAACUGGAGUUAAGGACACACAAGUCUGCUUGUGUGAGGAGGUGGUUUUCUCAGCUUCUUCUGAAGAGAGGGAAAGAUCGUAUAAGGCCACUGAUGAAGAGCAGGCGGUGACUGGGAUGAAUCCUGGUCAGAGAGGAGAAUCUUCUUUCCCCUAAACUGAUGCAGCAGUGGUUUUAAAGGAGGACGCUGCCCUGGAUGAUGUAGAAGAUGUCACAUGCUGUGCUGAUGCGGUUUCUUCAUGAUUACAUCAGUUAUGCUAAAGAGAUCAUGAAAAUUGACCGUGAUGCAUGAUCUGUAUUCAUGGACUUUGAAACAAACUGUAAGUGUAUAAUUUGUUAAAAAAAAAAAAGUUAAAUGCUUUUUCUGCGUUGUUUAGUAGAAGAGUUUACACUCUGUCAUUCAUACACCUGCUCACAUUCUUUCACACACACACACACACACACACACACACACACACACACACACACACACACACAUGCGUCUGUUAAAUGUUAUAAUAUCAAAGUUAAUGUUGUGAUUUAUUUGUGUACUGUCAUGCCAGAAUAGUUGGAAAAAAACCUAACUAAUUGUAAAUUUAUUGUAUGUGUUUUCGUAUAUUUUUAUACAAUAUAUACAAUUGAACAAAGUCCAAUUUGAUCUUAAGUUAUAUUCAUCAAAUUUUCAAUGCUUUGUUUAUGAACUCUGUAGCUGUUAAUGCCAUCCUUUUCUGCAUUUCUUCUAACAUGUUACUUUUUGACUUUUCUCUUGUUUUUAAUAAAUAUUUUCCUUUUGGUAAUUAUUAUUUGUGUGUAAAAGUGAUAUUUAAAAUGAACAACAUUUGUAGGUUUAAUGCCUAGCUCAAUUUGGGUUAAUUUUAACGUAGAAAUGCAUUGUUACCCCACAUGGCUGCACUCUGCGAGUUUAUUUUCUGCCAGCAGGAGGCGCUAAGAGCGGGAGAGGUAGGUUUCUCCGGUAACGGCUGCAGAGCGGUGCUGAGCUCACGAAUGCUGCCUUAUCAACAGUGUUGGGCAAGUUACUUUUAAAAAGUAAUUAGUUACAGUUACUAGUUACUUCUUCCAAAAAGUAACUAAAUUAGUAACUCAGUUACAAAUUUUUAAAGUAACUAGUUACUUAAGAAAGUAACUAUUGCGUUACUUUCAAGUAAAAUUACAUUUUAAAUGCUCAAACGUGACCCCACCUCUACCCCUCUUUAAAGGAACUUAAAAUACAUGUGCAUGUUCAAUUAUUUAUGAUAAAUCUGAAUAUUAUAAUGAAAUGGACACUUAAUACAAUACAUUAUUAACAGAAACAUGAAACAUUGUACACACAUCUAAAAAAAAAAGUUGCUGUGGGACAAAGUGAGACUAGCCUCCAAUCAAAUGGCAUGUAUGUAGAUAUUAUGUUUAUAUAGUGGAUCAAUGCAAAUAACACGAUAGAUUUUUGGGAACUUUUGAUAUUUCCUUUUAUUGUUUCUUUAAUUUCUUGAAGGAAAAAGUACGCACGCAUUUUCUCUUGUUUUUAAUAAAUAUUUUCCUUUUGGUAAUUAUUAUUUGUGUGUAAAAGUGAUAUUUAAAAUGAACAACAUUUGUAGGUUUAAUGCCUAGCUCAAUUUGGGUUAAUUUUAACGUAGAAAUGCAUUGUUUCCCCACAUGGCUGCACUCUGCGAGUUUAUUUUCUGCCAGCAGGAGGCGCUAAGAGCGGGAGAGGUAGGUUUCUCCGGUAACGGCUGCAGAGCGGUGCUGAGCUCACGAACGCUGCCUUAUCAACAGUGUUGGGCAAGUUACUUUUAAAAAGUAAUUAGUUACAGUUACUAGUUACUUCUUCCAAAAAGUAACUAAAUUAGUAACUCAGUUACAAAUUUUUAAAGUAACUAGUUACUUAAGAAAGUAACUAUUGCGUUACUUUCAAGUAAAAUUACAUUUUAAAUGCUCAAACGUGACCCCACCUCUACCCCUCUUUAAAGGAACUUAAAAUACAUGUGCAUGUUCAAUUAUUUAUGAUAAAUCUGAAUAUUAUAAUGAAAUGGACACUUAAUACAAUACAUUAUUAACAGAAACAUGAAACAUUGUACACACAUCUAAAAAAAAAAGUUGCUGUGGGACAAAGUGAGACUAGCCUCCAAUCAAAUGGCAUGUAUGUAGAUAUUAUGUUUAUAUAGUGGAUCAAUGCAAAUAACACGAUAGAUUUUUGGGAACUUUUGAUAUUUCCUUUUAUUGUUUCUUUAAUUUCUUGAAGGAAAAAGUAAUGUAUAUACUUCUAUUUAGAGAAGGCUACUUUUGGAUUAUUUGGGCUCGUCGCCAUACCUGUCUCUGGUUGACUGACUGGCUUGUGGUGUUCGUUGUGUGUCCUGUCCUGUCCGAUGAUGGGUCGUUCGCGAAUGAGCGUUAGUGAUGAUGGAUCGACUCGUUCGCGAAUGAGCUUUUGAUGAGUCGUUCGCGAUUCGCGAAUGAGCCGACUCUAAGAGCCGGCUUUUUUAGUUGAACUUCGGAAGCUGGCUCGCAUAUCUGAAGAGCCAACUCUAUUUUUUCAAAUUUAGCCUAUAGAAAUUAAAUAAUUAUGUAAUAAAAAUUGAAAUAUUAUAGUCAAAGUCAUUUAAAGAGCCGUUUGUGAGCCAAAGAGCCGGCUCUUUUCAGUGAGCUGAGUCAAAAGAGCCGAAUUCCCAUCACUACUAUGCGUGCUUUCGAAAACCCGCCCAACUCUACCUCUGAUUGGCUUACAAUGAAAUUUUACUCUACCUCAGCCAAUCGUCAGCAUUUAUGCGCUUGUCUCGUGCUCUGCCCACUAACCAAGGAAGAACAGUAAAAAAAAGUAUUUGCCUCUCGCUCAGAGAUCUAGUUGGUCUGAUGAAAAAAAAAAACAGCUUCAUCAUCAGUUAUAGUAACGCGCCGCAUUUUUUGGCAGUAACGGUAACGGCGUUAUUAAGAUGAGAAGAGUAAUCAAUUAGAUUACUCGUUACUGGAAAAAGUAAUGCCGUUAGUAACGCCGUUAUUUAUAACGCCGUUAUUCCCAUCACUGCUUAUCAAGCACAUGCGAAAUGAUAUCGAACAUUUUCUAAAUACAGUAGUUUUCCUUCUGAAAUACAGUGAUAAAAAAACACCCGCUCUGUUUUUUGAAACCCUGCAAUAUAGUCAUUUUAAACCAUAAAAAAGGCAACCCAGCAGGCUGGGUUAAAUAUGAUAACCCAACUGGUUGGGUUAAAACAACCCAGCGCUGGGUUCGUCCCUUUUUGACCCAGCGCUGGGUUGUCAAAAUAACCCAAAUUGGGUUGUUUUCAACCCAGCAGUUUUUAGAGUGUAUAUUUGUUUAUUUAAUAACCACACGCGUGUGUCCUAUUUUUUCCCCUAGACGUCAGUUUCUUUUGUUGUUUAUUUGGUUUGAUAAUAAAUUGCUUUAUUGUUAAAGAAUUUGUUGUCUGCCUCUUUUAUGUUGCGGUCUACGAGCCAGCCGUAACAUAAAAAUGGGGCCUCGUUCGAGAUUUUUUUUUAGCUUUUUCUGAGGGAGUAUUUUUAUUGUCUCUUCAGGAUUUCUGAAAGAGUCAGUUUUCACUCCGGUUAGUUAGAGUGUUUCAGCUGGGCUGUGUGUGAGCGGUCCUUCCAUCGGAACACUGUUUGUUGUUUUGUUGAUUUUGUUUUGUAUUUUAUUUGGAGUUUUCUGAAGGAAAUCCUGGGUGGGGGUACGCUUCUCGCGCAGCUAAACUCAUUUGGAGUAUGGUUGUUACGAGGUUCAGCGUUUCAAGUCGCCUCGAGCCCGGCAGUCCUUUGAAGACUAGCUAGGAUAUAGUUUCAACAGGCAGGUAUAUCGGAGAUGUAAAGCUGAUUGAAAUCCUGGUGAGUACUUUAUAUUUCUCCCUGAUUUGUUUAAUUUUAUUACAAAGAGCAUGUUUUCGCGUGUUAAGUUGCCCAUUUAUAUAGGAAUUAGAUGAUUGUGUAGACCGGUUAAAAUAUAAAAUUUAAUUAGUUUACACGACAAUCUUCUGUUGGGGACAAUAGAGCUGAUCGAUGAAGCAGAUACAUUUGAAACAGCUGUUGUAACCUAAUGAGAAUGACCGAUUGUCUACUGAAGUAAAUUAGUACUGCAUCGAGUGGUUAUACAGAGCUUAUAUUCCUAUUAAAAUUGUGCAUUUAUCGUCCUCCUUAUAACACUGAAAUUGUUGCAGUGACUGUGUGAUUUAAUUUGAAGAAUAAAAACAGGAUUUAUGUCUUGGGCUUAUUAAUUCACUUGAUCUUUAUGAGGGUUCUAGUGUUAUAGUGGAUUGAGCUAGGUAAUUGAAUAAUUAUUUGUUUAGGCUGUUUUCUGACACUGGUUUUGGAAGUGUGUUAUCAGAAUUAUUUGGUUUUAUUGUGGUCAACUUAUUAACUAAUCUUCAUU
Molecule: long non-coding RNA, 4560 nt
Organism: Carassius auratus (goldfish)
Lineage: Eukaryota; Metazoa; Chordata; Actinopteri; Cypriniformes; Cyprinidae
Source: Ensembl